Molecule: transfer RNA, 69 nt
Filed under: Ictidomys tridecemlineatus (thirteen-lined ground squirrel)
Lineage: Eukaryota; Metazoa; Chordata; Mammalia; Rodentia; Sciuridae
Description: Spermophilus tridecemlineatus (thirteen-lined ground squirrel) tRNA
Rfam family: tRNA
About the family: Transfer RNA (tRNA) molecules are approximately 80 nucleotides in length. Their secondary structure includes four short double-helical elements and three loops (D, anti-codon, and T loops). Further hydrogen bonds mediate the characteristic L-shaped molecular structure. tRNAs have two regions of fundamental functional importance: the anti-codon, which is responsible for specific mRNA codon recognition, and the 3' end, to which the tRNAs corresponding amino acid is attached (by aminoacyl-tRNA synthetases). tRNAs cope with the degeneracy of the genetic code in two manners: having more than one tRNA (with a specific anti-codon) for a particular amino acid; and 'wobble' base-pairing, i.e. permitting non-standard base-pairing at the 3rd anti-codon position.
Source: Rfam by way of RNAcentral
GGGAUUGUGGCUCAGCAGUAGAGUGCUUGCCUUGCACGCGUGAGGUCCUGGGUUCAAUCCUCAGCACCA